AUGUACCGCCGGAGACUAUCCCAAACAUUCCCGACUUACCCUAACCUCAAAAUCCUCCUUUUAGAAAACAAGAACUUAAGCGAGCAGUGUUACCGAAUAACUUUAAUGCUUCGCCAGAUUUCAGCCGCAAACAAUGUCAAACAACGACUCGAACUGAUCCUCAAAAACAGCAAACUCUUCGGAGUCCUCAAAGACAAGUUCUCGGCUGUACCCCGCUCCCUUAAGGACCAGUCUUCGAGCGUGUUGAGGGUAUGGGCACACCAGUUUGAGUGUGUGAUGGCCCACCGUUUACGACGGGGCCAGCAGAUGUUUUGUCUCUACUCGAAAUUGUGGGAGGAAAGGGCUUUAAGGGAGUUUCUGAGACAGAUGAGGCAGAGAAUUGGGGUGAAAAGCCGGGAUUUUCUGGUGGCGGCGCUGGGGGUCGCCGCCUAUGACUGGAGCUCGAAUCGCAUCCCGGAGAGCGAAAUUAGGAGACAUUCAAAAGAGUUGGAGUAUGUUUACAAGCUCAAGGAAAAAACCUUAUGUAACAAGUGCAUAAAAAAUUCACGGAUCUGCCAAUGCCAAAAGCCUAGUGAUAGCAUCGAGAAGCCUAAACUGGCGUCGUACGAUGAUUGGAAAUUAUUUAUCGAAAAAAAUGACUUGGUGGUGUGGAGGAGGUUGCACUCCUCAGGAAACUACGAAUAUAAGGUUUAUGGGUCUUAUGCUGAUGUCUCUGCUGAAGAUUUUCUGAAUGUUCAGAUUGAUAUUGAUUAUAGAAGACAGUGGGAUAACACUGCGGUGGUUUUGAAUAUUGUGGAAGCUGACCCAGACCCACAUUCGCAUAGCGACAUUAUCUACUGGGAAAUGCAGUGGCCAACGUUAUUCGCCAACAGAGACUACGUGUUCAACCGGCGCUAUUUGGUCGACUACAAAGCGAAAACCCUCUUUCUAGUCAGCAAAUCAACCAAACACCCCAGUUGUCCUAAACAACAGACAAAAUACCGAAUCGAGGACUACUGGUCUUACAUGGUCAUCAGACCGUACACCGAACUGAAUAAGCCCGGCAUCGAAUUUAGUCUAACUUAUUUUGAUAAUCCCGGAGUGAAUAUUCCAGCUUCUGUAACAACAUGGGUGGCAAUGAAAGCCAUGCCCGACUUUCUGGAACGCUUGCGAGAAGCCUCUCGAAAAUAUAAAGUUUACUGUAAAGAGUCGGGUGUGUGUAGUAUUUGCAAUAUCCUCGAUUCGCACGAAAAUAACCGGGAGCCGUACCAAUGGGAUUACUUCGAAGACGAUGUUACGGAUAACACCAUCUACGAAGCUCAUCACAAAAUCAAAGCGCCUGAAAUGGACACAAAACCAUCAAAUCCUCCACCGAAAUCCGAUGGGGAUGUUGAUGGCACAACCAACACAUCGGCAAACGUGCAAUCAGAAAACCAUAGCUUCUGGAGAUUUAUUAAAAGAUUAUUUAAAUGAAAGCUAUGUUUUAAAGUACCCGCUUCUGACCAUCCUGUAGAAGUUGUCAAAUUGACACGAACCCAAGCUGUGAAGAACUCAAUGUGGGAAGAAUGACCAAGAAACCAAAGAAAAUUGUUACGUUAUCACCUGUUAAAAUAUUUAAGGACUCUCUCGUCUAGUACUAAAUAAAUUAUUAUGCAACUGG
RNA transcript from Tribolium castaneum (red flour beetle), 1639 nucleotides. It is a transcript of the gene named stAR-related lipid transfer protein 7, mitochondrial, with no coding region annotated. The record is from RefSeq and is a predicted model, not a curated record. The transcript has 4 exons. Lineage: Eukaryota; Metazoa; Arthropoda; Insecta; Coleoptera; Tenebrionidae.